RNAcentral lists this ribosomal RNA (548 nucleotides) under uncultured Bifidobacterium sp. RNAcentral's name for it is "bacterial SSU rRNA". It matches the Rfam family "Bacterial small subunit ribosomal RNA", at positions 147 to 710 of the family's 1533-position model. The record is from RNAcentral. Lineage: Bacteria; Bacillati; Actinomycetota; Actinomycetes; Bifidobacteriales; Bifidobacteriaceae.
CUCCUGGAACGGGUGGUAAUGCCGGAUGCUCCGCCCCCUCGCAUGGGGGGUCGGGAAGGCUUUUGCGGAAUGGGAUGGGGUCGCGUCCUAUCAGCUUGUUGGCGGGGCGACGGCCCACCAAGGCUUCGACGGGUAGCCGGCCUGAGAGGGCGACCGGCCACAUUGGGACUGAGAUACGGCCCAGACUCCUACGGGAGGCAGCAGUGGGGAAUAUUGCACAAUGGGGGGAACCCUGAUGCAGCGACGCCGCGUGCGGGAUGGAGGCCUUCGGGUCGUGAACCGCUUUUGAUUGGGAGCAAGCGUGAGUGAGUGUACCUUUCGAAUAAGCACCGGCUAACUACGUGCCAGCAGCCGCGGUAAUACGUAGGGUGCAAGCGUUGUCCGGAAUCAUUGGGCGUAAAGGGCUCGUAGGCGGUUCGUCGCGUCCGGUGUGAAAGCCCAUCGCUUAACGGUGGGUCUGCGCCGGGUACGGGCGGGCUUGAGUGCGGCAGGGGAGGCUGGAAUUCCCGGUGUAACGGUUGGAAUGUGUAGAUAUCGGGAAGAACACC